CCUACGGGAGGCAGCAGUGGGGAAUUUUGGACAAUGGGCGCAAGCCUGAUCCAGCAAUGCCGCGUGCAGGAUGAAGGCCUUCGGGUUGUAAACUGCUUUUGUACGGAACGAAACGGUCUGCCCUAAUACGGUGGGCUAAUGACGGUACCGUAAGAAUAAGCACCGGCUAACUACGUGCCAGCAGCCGCGGUAAUACGUAGGGUGCGAGCGUUAAUCGGAAUUACUGGGCGUAAAGCGUGCGCAGGCGGUUAUGUAAGACAGAUGUGAAAUCCCCGGGCUCAACCUGGGACCUGCAUUUGUGACUGCAUAGCUAGAGUACGGUAGAGGGGGGAUGGGAAUUCCGCGUGUAGCAGUGAAAUGCGUAGAUAUGCGGAGGAACACCGAUGGCGAAGGCAAUCCCCUGGACCUGUACUGACGCUCAUGCACGAAAGCGUGGGGAGCAAACAGGAUUAGAUACCCUGGUAGUCCACGCCCUAAACGAUGUCAACUGGUUGUUGGGUCUUCACUGACUCAGUAACGAAGCUAACGCGUGAAGUUGACCGCCUGGGGAGUACGGCCGCGAAGGUUGAAACUCAAAGGAAUUGACGGCGNGAGAGAGCGACGACGACGACGAGGGAGGAGG
Molecule: ribosomal RNA, 622 nt
Filed under: uncultured bacterium
Lineage: Bacteria
Description: bacterial SSU rRNA
Rfam family: Bacterial small subunit ribosomal RNA
Source: RNAcentral